CAGCCGCCGCGGUAAUACGAAGGGGGCUAGCGUUGUUCGGAAUUACUGGGCGUAAAGCGCACGUAGGCGGACAUUUAAGUCAGGGGUGAAAUCCCGGGGCUCAACCCCGGAACUGCCUUUGAUACUGGGUGUCUUGAGUGUGGAAGAGGUCAGUGGAAUUGCGAGUGUAGAGGUGAAAUUCGUAGAUAUUCGCAGGAACACCGGUGGCGAAGGCGGCUCACUGGUCCAUUACUGACGCUGAGGUGCGAAAGCGUGGGGAGCAAACAGGAUUAGAUACCCCCGUAGUCCCUGUCUCUUAUAC
Molecule: ribosomal RNA, 301 nt
Filed under: uncultured bacterium
Lineage: Bacteria
Description: partial 16S ribosomal RNA
Rfam family: Bacterial small subunit ribosomal RNA
Source: RNAcentral